Molecule: RNA transcript, 774 nt
Organism: Mus musculus (house mouse)
Lineage: Eukaryota; Metazoa; Chordata; Mammalia; Rodentia; Muridae
Gene name: predicted gene 13238
Exons: 1
Source: RefSeq, marked provisional
AUGGCCGAGACCGAGGAGCGGAGCCUGGAAAACUUCUUCGCCAAGAGGGACAAGAAGAAGGAACGGAGCAGUCGGGCGGCCAUCGUUGCGAGCGGCACGGACGGGAGCAGCGCGGCGGUGGGCUCCAGGCCGGGCGAUGGCCGGAGCUCGGUCUCAGGUGCCAGGUCGGGCGACUUAGGGAGCUCGGGCUCUGGUGCUAGGUCCAGAGACAGCGGGAGCGCGGGCCCGGCCGACAAGGCCAUAACGAAGGAUGAAAAUGAGUGGAAAGAAUUUGAGCACAUAGAGGUUGAUUACAGUGGAUUAAGAGUUCAGGCAAUGCAAAUAAGUGAAAAGCAAGAUGAUGAUAAUGAGAAGAGAGAAGAUCCAGGAGAUAAUUGGGAAGAAGGUAGAGGUGGCAGUGGAGCAGAAAAAUCUCCAGGUUCCUGGAAUAAAACCGUUCUGGUACAAGCGCCUCCUGCUCCAGUAACAGUUACAGAAACCCCGGGGCCAGCAAUGCCCAGUGGUGUAUUUAGGCCUCCUGAGGCAAGGCUAACCACAACAUGGAAAACUCCACAAGGACCACCGGAAAUAUACAGUGACACACAGUUCCCAUCCCUGCAGUCCACUGCCAAGCAUGUAGAGAGCCGGAAGGAUAAAGAAAUGGAGAAGACCUUUGAAGUAGUAAGACACAAAAAUAGAGAUAGGGAGAAGGUUUCAAAAAACCAGGCCCUUAAACUUCAGCUAGACCACCAGUAUGCUGUGCUUGAGAAUCAGAAGUACAGCCACACACAGUAU